UGCGCAGGCGGCCUGUUAAGUCAGAGGUGAAAUUUGUCGGCUCAACCGACAGACUGCCCCUGAAACUGACAGGCUUGAGUCCGGGAGAGGAAGGUGGAAUUCCAGGUGUAGCGGUGAAAUGCGUAAAUAUCUGGAGGAACACCGGUGGCGAAGGCGGCCUUCUGCCCGGAACUGACGCUCAGGCACGAAAGCUAGGGGAGCGAACG
Molecule: ribosomal RNA, 206 nt
Filed under: uncultured bacterium
Lineage: Bacteria
Description: partial 16S ribosomal RNA
Rfam family: Bacterial small subunit ribosomal RNA
Source: RNAcentral